CAUGAGUUUGAGUAAACUCCAGGAGUUGGUGAUGGACAGGAAGGCCUGGUGUGCUGCAGUCCAUGGGGUCACAGAGACUCGGAGAUGACUGAGCGACUCUCACUUGCUUUCCUCACACCUGCAGCACCCAGAAGGCAGACUGUACAGCUGCCCAGCCAUCAGCUCCAGGAAAAGGACUGUGUCCUGACUUUCCCCACGGGUGCAGGUGGCCCACGUGUCCCGGCUCACGGCCGCCCCCUCCAUCCACAAGUCGUCGGCACAGUUUUACUCUCCUCCCUGACCUCUCCUUUCUUGGUCACGUUUCUCCCUGACUCUGACCCUCUUGCCCCUUGCUUAUAAAGAUCCUGCGAUUACACUAGGCCCACUUGGCUAACCCAUGAGCUUCUCCCCACCCAUGCCGAGGCCCUUAAUUAAUCACAUCUGUAAAGUCCCUCUUGUCAGGUAACAUACUCGUGAGUUUCAAGGGUUAACAUUAUUAACAUCUUUGGGGGGGAAAUAUUAUUCUGCCACCAAGGAGGGAAAAGAGAGAAAGGAAAGGAAGAGCAAAAAAAAAAAAAAAAAAAAAUUAGCCAAAGCACCAACCACUGGUAUACUAUGCAAAAUUAUGGUUUUCGUUGAGCAUAAACAAGCAACUUUUAUUCUUUUAAAAAAAAAAUUAAAAAUAAUUUUUAUUAGCAUACAGUUGAUUUAACAAGCAAGCUUUAAAGAGGAUACAAUAUUUGAAAUAAAGUCACGGAGGAAGAGGCAGAGAGCGAGGCGGCAGAGAGGAGGAGUAGGAAGUGGAGACAGCAGUUUUCGAGGCGCAGUUUAAGCUGGUGUAUCCAUUCAUGCCUCCGGGCAGGCAAAGAUAUUUCGUAAGAAAUCAUUUCAGAAUUUGAUUUUACUUCUUGCCAUAUGAGUUUCUGUUCCCUUGUCAGGACCAGAAAAGCGAGUGAGGGUGUGAAUGGAGGUUUUCAUUUAUGAAACGGCCCCCAGGUGCUGCCUUUUAAGGACAGAAACUUGCAACUCUCUCUUCAUUAUAGAAUCACAAUCCCUUUUUCUUUUUCUCCUGGACUGGUGUUCACCGGACCGUCCAUCCAUCUGAGCGACAAGCCGGGCUUCAUACAGUGCCUGUCUGUUGGUAGAUGCUGGGGAGACCCUUGGGAAAGCCAGCCCUCACUCUGCGGAAAGUAAAGAGACAGAUGAAUCCUACACAGACGCAGACCCUGCCGUCGGCGACUACUGUCCACGGGCCUUAAAAACCACGGCUGGCUCCAGAGGUAUUAGAGCUGAAGCAUCAUUUGUGUUGGUCACAGGGGUUGCGAGUGUGUAAUAACAUUCCAGAGCUCACGUUUUGCAUGAAGCACUUAGGAG
This is a long non-coding RNA of Bubalus bubalis (water buffalo), 1353 nucleotides long. RefSeq lists it as uncharacterized. The transcript is spliced from 2 exons. The record is from RefSeq and is a predicted model, not a curated record. NCBI's taxonomy places the organism in Eukaryota, Metazoa, Chordata, Mammalia, Artiodactyla, Bovidae.